Molecule: long non-coding RNA, 1311 nt
Filed under: Daucus carota (carrot)
Lineage: Eukaryota; Viridiplantae; Streptophyta; Magnoliopsida; Apiales; Apiaceae
Description: long non-coding RNA (DCAR_LNC005968)
Source: RNAcentral
GGAAAGCAAGUGGUGAUAGAGUAGUAUAGCGAGCAAGCGUAGUUGAAACUUGAGAUCAGCUAUAUAAGGCAAGUUCCCUGAGACUUUCCUCCAAUUAUAUACUGUAUCUGUUGUGAUUAUUUAGCGAGCUUUCUAAUUAAGCCCUGUGAUCUAUUGAAUUAUAGCAUGGAUUAUUUAUCCUAGUGAUUUUUGAACCUUCAACCAGAUUCCUUGAAUUAUAAUAUGGAUUAUUUACUUUAUUGAUUCUUGAACCUUUGACCCGAUUCUUUGAUACCUGCUACGAAACCUAUUUCAAUUGUAAACCUUCAAUUUUUAAAACUUCUAAAUGAUUACCAUAAGAACCUAAUUUCAUUUCAAGAACAUACCCUCGAUACCUCAACCAGUUAUCAAUCACACAUCCUUCAGACCUUAACCACUUGAUCAACACCAAAUAACGUCUGUUAUAACAUAUACCUUACAGUUGCUUGAUUCUUUCCAUAAACUCAAGUUUAUUGAUCUUAAAAGUAUUCAUUUAUACUUGGAUCCUGUUUGUGAACCUAGAACCCUUCUUCAUAUAAACAUUAAACUUUGAUAUACUUUGUCAUCCAAUCAUGCGAUAUCUGAUUCUUUGAUAAACCCUGAAGUUGUUCUCAUUCCUCUUUUGAAAUACAUCUGAGACACUUUGAAUAGUGGUCUGCUUCUGCUUCAAAAUUUAUUUAUGAUAUUGGUGUUUCUAUUUUAUUGAAUAAUAUUGUUGAUCAUCUUGAUUGUGAAAGAAUUGGAUAGUUUUCUAAACUUGGACCAAAUGAGUGGUCAGACCAGAUGAGUGGUCGCUUUAGGCCAAUGUGUGCCUUGGAUCCAGUAAACGAGCAUGGUGGGACCUGCUCGGGGUUAGUGUCUGACUGAUCAGCAGCCUAACCUUUGAUUUUUAAAAAUAAAUUUAAUAUCCAAUUCUAAUUGAUACUCUAAAAACAAAUCUUGAUAUUGAGAUUGAUUCCAUUAGACACUGGUUUCCUUCAGCUUAUGAUUAAUAUUUUAAAAUUGAUAUUGUUAUACUUGCUGAGCUCGUUAGCUCACUCUUGCGAUACUUUAUGUUCUUUCCAGUGAAGGCAGAGAAAGUUGGUAACGAUGACCCUCAGGCUAGUGGUAAGGCCAGGAUUCCAGGCUGAGAGAUGGAGAGAGCUAUCAGCAGCAAUUGGCUUUUUAUAUAUGUACUAGUUUGAAUAACAAGACACAAAUGAUGUGUAAGCUUGUAAGAAUUAAGUUUAUAUUUUGGGAUUUGGGUUUGUAAUAAUUAAAGUUAUGUUGUGGCUUGUUUUAUACUUUAACCUG